CCUACGGGAGGCAGCAGUGGGGAAUAUUGGGCAAUGGGCGCAAGCCUGACCCAGCAACGCCGCGUGAAGGAAGAAGGCCCUCGGGUUGUAAACUUCUUUUCUAUAGGACGAAGAAGUGACGGUACUAUAGGAAUAAGCCACGGCUAACUACGUGCCAGCAGCCGCGGUAAUACGUAGGUGGCGAGCGUUAUCCGGAUUUACUGGUUUUAAAGGGCGUGUAGGCGGGAGAGCAAAUCAGAUGGUAAAACUACAGGCUUAACCUGUAGCCUGCAGUUGAAACUGUUCUUCUGGAGUGAGGGAGAGGCAGGCGGAAUGCCUGGUGUAGCGGUGAAAUGCGUAGAUAGUAGGAGGAACACCAGUGGCGAAGGCGGCCUGCUGGACAUUAACUGACGCUGAGGCGCGAAAGCGUGGGGAGCAAACAGGAUUAGAUACCCGGGUAGUC
RNAcentral lists this ribosomal RNA (442 nucleotides) under uncultured bacterium. RNAcentral's name for it is "partial 16S ribosomal RNA". It matches the Rfam family "Bacterial small subunit ribosomal RNA", at positions 338 to 795 of the family's 1533-position model. The record is from RNAcentral.